Molecule: ribosomal RNA, 442 nt
Filed under: uncultured bacterium
Lineage: Bacteria
Description: bacterial SSU rRNA
Rfam family: Bacterial small subunit ribosomal RNA
Source: RNAcentral
AACGCGAAGAACCUUACCUACCCUUGACAUACAGUGGAUUUUGCAGAGAUGCAGAAGUGCCUUCGGGAACACUGCUACAGGUGCUGCAUGGCUGUCGUCAGCUCGUGUCGUGAGAUGUUGGGUUAAGUCCCGUAACGAGCGCAACCCUUGUCCUUAGUUGCCAGCGCGUAAAGGCGGGAACUCUAAGGAGACUGCCGGUGACAAACCGGAGGAAGGCGGGGACGACGUCAAGUCAUCAUGGCCCUUACGGGUAGGGCUACACACGUGCUACAAUGGCUGGUACAGAGGGAAGCGAAGGGGAGACCUGGAGCGGAUCCUUGAAAGCUGGUCGUAGUCCGGAUUGAAGUCUGCAACUCGACUUCAUGAAGUCGGAAUCGCUAGUAAUCGCGAAUCAGCAUGUCGCGGUGAAUACGUUCCCGGGCCUUGUACACACCGACUGUAC